RNAcentral lists this long non-coding RNA (408 nucleotides) under Gorilla gorilla gorilla (western lowland gorilla). Its description in RNAcentral is "lncRNA (ENSGGOG00000044681.1)". The record is from RNAcentral. Lineage: Eukaryota; Metazoa; Chordata; Mammalia; Primates; Hominidae.
AUCUCUAUAAUAGAGAUUGAACAGUGUCACUGGCGUGGGGGUUACCUUCCCACUGUGUCCCCCAGAAGACAUGAGGCCACAGACUGCAGUGCCCGUGGACAGAGGAGCUGUGGGGAUGGAAGUGUGAUUGCUUCAUUCAAAUGCACGCCCCGGUGCGUGUGCGUCUCUUCUGAUGCAGCGCCCCAUGGAUACCCCAUCAGCCUGAGUCUCUUAAAGGCCUUUAUACACAUAUGUCUACACAUAGGGAUUUGGAUUAUCUCGGGAUCCCACAUCCUCGCUGUCCCCUGUCCCCCCGCAACAUCCCCCACCAAUACCUUUCUGAAGUUUUCUAGUCCCUCCUUUUUGUUUGUGCUCCUUAAAGCCCAGCCCCAUGCCUGACUUUGGUUCCCAGUGAGCAUUGUACAUUUG